AGCGACUUACGUUCAGUAGCGAGCUUAACCGAGUAGGGGGAGGCGUAGGGAAACCGAGUCCGAAUAGGGCGCAUAGUUGCUGGGCGUAGACCCGAAACCAAGUGAUCUAUCCAUGGCCAGGUUGAAGGUGCCGUAACAGGUACUGGAGGACCGAACCCACUAGUGUUGCAAAACUAGGGGAUGAGCUGUGGAUAGGGGUGAAAGGCUAAACAAACUUGGAAAUAGCUGGUUCUCUCCGAAAACUAUUUAGGUAGUGCCUCACGUAUCACUCUCGGGGGUAGAGCACUGUCAUGGCUAGGGGGUCGCGACUUACCAAACCAUAGCAAACUCCGAAUACCGAGAAGUGCGAGCGUGGGAGACAGACAUCGGGUGCUAACGUCCGGUGUCAAGAGGGAAACAACCCAGACCGCCAGCUAAGGUCCCAAAUGACGUGCUAAGUGGUAAACGAAGUGGGAAGGCAUAGACAGCCAGGAUGUUGGCUUAGAAGCAGCCAUCAUUUAAAGAAAGCGUAAUAGCUCACUGGUCGAGUCGU
Molecule: ribosomal RNA, 532 nt
Filed under: uncultured bacterium
Lineage: Bacteria
Description: bacterial LSU rRNA
Rfam family: Bacterial large subunit ribosomal RNA
Source: RNAcentral